Molecule: ribosomal RNA, 430 nt
Filed under: uncultured bacterium
Lineage: Bacteria
Description: bacterial SSU rRNA
Rfam family: Bacterial small subunit ribosomal RNA
Source: RNAcentral
GUAGGGAAUCUUCCACAAUGGACGAAAGUCUGAUGGAGCAACGCCGCGUGAGUGAAGAAGGGUUUCGGCUCGUAAAGCUCUGUUGGUAGUGAAGAAAGAUAGAGGUAGUAACUGGCCUUUAUUUGACGGUAAUUACUUAGAAAGUCACGGCUAACUACGUGCCAGCAGCCGCGGUAAUACGUAGGUGGCAAGCGUUGUCCGGAUUUAUUGGGCGUAAAGCGAGUGCAGGCGGUUCAAUAAGUCUGAUGUGAAAGCCCUCGGCUUAACCGAGGAACUGCAUCGGAAACUGUUUUUCUUGAGUGCAGAAGAGGAGAGUGGAACUCCAUGUGUAGCGGUGGAAUGCGUAGAUAUAUGGAAGAACACCAGUGGCGAAAGCGGCUCUCUGGUCUGUAACUGACGCUGAGGUUCGAAAGCGUGGGUAGCAAACAGG